AGAUGGAGUGUUCUAUAAACAGGGACCCUCAUGGCUAGUUGGGUGCUAAGUAUGAGAGCUUUGGCAGCUGUCUGUUUCUUCAAAGCGUGGAAGAUGCUGAACUCUGUGGAAUUGCCUUCAGAAAGCCCAGUGACCAGCAGAGAAGAUGAGUUGUGCUGUUAUCUCAGCAGGGGCAUCAACUGCAUUGCUAUAGAGAUAAUGAAUGUGUCACGAACUGCAGGGCUAAGGCAGAGAACUGUGCUCCUCUGCCAUUUGAAAGGGGAGGAGUGAGUGGAAGACUGUGUGGUGCUUUGCC
This is a long non-coding RNA of Tympanuchus pallidicinctus (lesser prairie-chicken), 295 nucleotides long. RefSeq lists it as uncharacterized. The record is from RefSeq and is a predicted model, not a curated record. Lineage: Eukaryota; Metazoa; Chordata; Aves; Galliformes; Phasianidae. The transcript is spliced from 3 exons.